Molecule: ribosomal RNA, 381 nt
Filed under: uncultured Eubacterium sp.
Lineage: Bacteria; Bacillati; Bacillota; Clostridia; Eubacteriales; Eubacteriaceae
Description: bacterial SSU rRNA
Rfam family: Bacterial small subunit ribosomal RNA
Source: RNAcentral
UGGGGAAUAUUGCACAAUGGGCGCAAGCCUGAUGCAGCAACGCCGCGUGAAGGAAGACGGUCUUCGGAUUGUAAACUUCUGUUCUUAGUGAAGAAAAAUGACGGUAGCUAAGGAGCAAGCCACGGCUAACUACGUGCCAGCAGCCGCGGUAAUACGUAGGUGGCAAGCGUUGUCCGGAAUUACUGGGUGUAAAGGGGGCGCAGGCGGGAGAGCAAGUCAGCUGUGAAAUCCAUGGGCUUAACCCAUGAACUGCAGUUGAAACUGUUUUUUCUUGAGUGAAGUAGAGGUUGGCGGAAUUCCGAGUGUAGCGGUGAAAUGCGUAGAUAUUCGGAGGAACACCGGUGGCGAAGGCGGCCAACUGGGCUUUUACUGACGCUGAGG